RNAcentral lists this ribosomal RNA (369 nucleotides) under uncultured organism. RNAcentral's name for it is "bacterial LSU rRNA". It matches the Rfam family "Bacterial large subunit ribosomal RNA", at positions 2099 to 2465 of the family's 2925-position model. The record is from RNAcentral.
CUUUACUGUAGCCUGGAAUUGGGUUCGGGCUUCUCUUGCGCAGUAUAGGUGGGAGGCACAGAAGUCAUCCUUGUGGGGAUGAUGGAGCCAUCGGUGAGAUACCACUCUAGAGAGGCUAGAAUUCUAACUGGUUCCCGUGAAUCCGGGAACAAGACAGUUUCAGGGGGGGCAGUUUGACUGGGGCGGUCGCCUCCUAAAAUGUAACGGAGGCGCGCAAAGGUUCCCUCAGAAUGGUUGGAAAUCAUUCGCAGAGUGUAAAGGCAUAAGGGAGCUUGACUGUGAGACUUACAAGUCCAACAGGGUGGAAACACGGCCUUAGUGAUCCGACGAUACUGUGUGGAAAGGCCGUCGCUCAACGGAUAAAAGUUA